This 253-nucleotide ribosomal RNA is filed under the name uncultured bacterium. RNAcentral's name for it is "partial 16S ribosomal RNA". It matches the Rfam family "Bacterial small subunit ribosomal RNA", at positions 524 to 776 of the family's 1533-position model. The record is from RNAcentral.
UACGAAGGGGGCUAGCGUUGCUCGGAAUCACUGGGCGUAAAGCGCACGUAGGCGGUUUGUUAAGUCAGGGGUGAAAUCCUGGAGCUCAACUCCAGAACUGCCUUUGAUACUGGCGAUCUUGAGUUCGGGAGAGGUGAGUGGAACUGCGAGUGUAGAGGUGAAAUUCGUAGAUAUUCGCAAGAACACCAGUGGCGAAGGCGGCUCACUGGCCCGAUACUGACGCUGAGGUGCGAAAGUGUGGGGAGCGAACAGG